This 202-nucleotide ribosomal RNA is filed under the name uncultured bacterium. RNAcentral describes it as "partial 16S ribosomal RNA". It matches the Rfam family "Bacterial small subunit ribosomal RNA", at positions 524 to 726 of the family's 1533-position model. The record is from RNAcentral.
UACGGAGGGAGCUAGCGUUGUUCGGAAUUACUGGGCGUAAAGCGCGCGUAGGCGGCUUUGUAAGUUAGAGGUGAAAGCCCGGGGCUCAACCCCGGAACUGCCUUUAAGACUGCAUCGCUUGAAUCCAGGAGAGGUGAGUGGAAUUCCGAGUGUAGAGGUGAAAUUCGUAGAUAUUCGGAAGAACACCAGUGGCGAAGGGACG